AUUGACUGAAUCCUUGAUUCAAGUGUUACACUUGGAACACGCCCAUUCUUCCUGUAGAAAAGACCGGUAAAUAUCGCAUGGCACAUGACCUCAGAAAAAUAAAGGACAGACUGGUAACCACUACAGUACCUGUCCCAAACCCGUACACUACGUCUGACUAGUCUGACACCACAACAGCAAUGGUUCACUUGCAUUGAUUUGGCGAACGCAUUCUUUUGCCUGCCGCUACACGAAGACUUACGGGAUGUGUUCUAAUUCACGUAUGGAAACAGACAGCUACGGUAUACUCGGCUACCACAAGGGUUCACUCUUUCGUCAGGUAUCUUUAACCAAGUGUUGAAACAGGCAUUAACGGGGUGCUCCCUGCCAGAGGGCACAACAUUAAUCUAAUACGUGGACGACAUCCUCCUCACAGCCACUUCAGCGGAAUCCUGUUUGGAAGCAACAGACACCGUCCUACGCCGGUUGGCCAAAACAGGUUUUAAGUGUGGCAGCCUUGGCUCUACCGAGCACCGUGGCUAUUAUUAAGUGCAAAGGACACGAGAACUCCAACAUAAUGGUGGCAAAGGGAAACCAGGCAGCGGACCAACCUGCAAAACAGCCUGCAGGUUACCAAAUGGGCUCCAAAGGAAGCUCAGCAAAUCAGGGUACGAACUGACCACCGGGAGACAGUUCCCUGGACCCAGUGCCGGCCUGAAGCUUAGGCCCAACCCGGAAGCUCCACCAGGUGAGUAUGCAUGUCGUAUAACAAUCUACGAGCUCUUGUUUCAGAUUUUGCGGACCAGGUGCGAGACA
Molecule: long non-coding RNA, 795 nt
Organism: Gasterosteus aculeatus aculeatus (three-spined stickleback)
Lineage: Eukaryota; Metazoa; Chordata; Actinopteri; Perciformes; Gasterosteidae
Source: Ensembl